UACGUAGGGGUCUAGCGUUGUCCGGAAUUAUUGGGCGUAAAGAGCUCGUAGGCGGUUCGGCAAGUCGGAUGUGAAAUCUCCACGCUUAACGUGGAGGGGCCAUUCGAAACUGCCGUGACUCGAGUCCGGUAGGGGAGUGCGGAAUUCCCGGUGUAGCGGUGAAAUGCGCAGAUAUCGGGAGGAACACCAGUGGCGAAGGCGGCACUCUGGGCCGGAACUCACGCUGAGGAGCGAAAGCGUGGGGAGCGAACAGG
This 254-nucleotide ribosomal RNA is filed under the name uncultured bacterium. RNAcentral's name for it is "partial 16S ribosomal RNA". It matches the Rfam family "Bacterial small subunit ribosomal RNA", at positions 524 to 776 of the family's 1533-position model. The record is from RNAcentral.